RNAcentral lists this ribosomal RNA (461 nucleotides) under uncultured bacterium. Its description in RNAcentral is "bacterial SSU rRNA". It matches the Rfam family "Bacterial small subunit ribosomal RNA", at positions 28 to 507 of the family's 1533-position model. The record is from RNAcentral.
GACGAACGCUGGCGGCGUGCUUAACACAUGCAAGUCGGACGGUUGGCACUGGAAGGUUCGCUGGAAGGUGCUGAUAGUGGCGGACGGGUGAGUAACGCGUGAGGACAUGUCUGCAGGAGGGGGAUAACGUUUGGAAACGGACGCUAAGACCCCGUAAGCCGGGAGGUGAAAGUGGCGAAAGCCAGCCUGUGGAGUGACUCGCGUCCUAUCAGCUAGUUGGCGGGGUGAAGGCCCACCAAGGCGAUGACGGGUAGCCGACCUGAGAGGGUGGCCGGCCACACUGGAACUGAGAUACGGUCCAGACUCCUACGGGAGGCAGCAGUGGGGAAUAUUGGGCAAUGGGCGGAAGCCUGACCCAGCGACGCCGCGUGGGGGAAGAAGUCUUUCGGGAUGUAAAAGCUCUGUCUGGAGGGACGAAGAAAGUGACGGUACCUCCGGAGGAAGCCACGGCUAACUACGUG